RNAcentral lists this unclassified non-coding RNA (401 nucleotides) under Pseudognaphalium sandwicensium var. hawaiiense. RNAcentral describes it as "partial external transcribed spacer". Lineage: Eukaryota; Viridiplantae; Streptophyta; Magnoliopsida; Asterales; Asteraceae. The record is from RNAcentral.
UGAGUGGUGUUUGGUUUGUUACGGGUGGUUGGCUAUUUGCUUGCGCAACAACUUCUACCUGGCAUACCUCUUCAGUCUUGUGUCAAUGCUUUUAUUGCAUUGAAUGCAUGAUGGGUUUCUUGUGUUGCAUGCCUAAUUAAUGGUAUCACUUGAUGAAUUGGUUUUCCUUUCGUCUGGCAUUGCCUAUGCGAUGUGAGAUGAACCUUGAAGCAGCCUUUGUGAUCCACUCUUUUGAUGCAUACGCAUUGAUUUUGUGGCUCGUUGAGUGUUGCUCGGUCUCAUGGAUACGGAACCUGAUGUGGGCAUGGAAUCUUAAUGGUUCCUUGUUUGCCCAAGUUUAGCUUUUCUAAAACGAUUGUCUAUCAUGUGUUAACGUGGUAGACUACUUCGAAUAUGAAUGC